This is a non-coding RNA of Cinara cedri, 270 nucleotides long. The record is from the annotation of a GenBank genome assembly. Lineage: Eukaryota; Metazoa; Arthropoda; Insecta; Hemiptera; Aphididae.
CAAAACUAUUAAUAACUAUUAAUAUAUGUUUCCUACAUAUUUAUUAUUUAUAAUUUUCAAAAAAAAAGAGUACAAUUUCAUGUACUUAAAACUAUUGUUAAGGACAAUUAACCUAUCAAUAAAGAGUAUGUCUGGUCACCAUAGCCAUGUGAUUGUUUAUGAAAAAAAAUCUUGUUAGCAAUAUAAUUUUUUGUUCAUUAUUAAUUUAUUUGAAUCUAAAGUAUAUUUACUAUUAUGCUCACAUAAGAUAAUGUGUAAUGCAAAUAUGGU